AGAUUGAACGCUGGCGGCAUGCCUUACACAUGCAAGUCGAACGGCAGGCACGGGGGCAACCCUGGUGGCGAGUGGCGAACGGGGUGAGUAAUACUAGUCGGAACGUGCCCUGGAGUGGGGGAUAGCUCGGCGAAAGCCGGAUUAAUACCGCAUACGAUCUAAGGACUGAAAGUGGGGGAUCGCAAGACCUCGUGCUCCUGGAGCGGCCGAUAUCUGAUUAGCUAGUUGGUAGGUAAAAGCCUACCAAGGCAUCGAUCAGUAGCUGGUCUGAGAGGACGACCGACGCCGACACUGGAACUGAGACACGGUCCGAGACUCCGUACGGGAGCGAGACGAGUGGGAAUUUGGACAAGUGGGGCAACCGUGAUCCGAGACAAU
RNAcentral lists this ribosomal RNA (378 nucleotides) under uncultured soil bacterium. Its description in RNAcentral is "bacterial SSU rRNA". It matches the Rfam family "Bacterial small subunit ribosomal RNA", at positions 26 to 395 of the family's 1533-position model. The record is from RNAcentral.